This 351-nucleotide ribosomal RNA is filed under the name uncultured bacterium. RNAcentral describes it as "bacterial SSU rRNA". It matches the Rfam family "Bacterial small subunit ribosomal RNA", at positions 29 to 369 of the family's 1533-position model. The record is from RNAcentral.
AAUGAACGCUGGCGGCGCGCCUAAUACAUGCAAGUCGAGCGAGAAGACGUAGCAAUACGUUUGUAAAGCGGCGAACGGGUGAGGAAUACAUGGGUAACCUACCCUCGAGUGGGGAAGUAACUAGCCGAAAGGUUAGCUAAUACCGCGUACGCUCUUGGACUUCGGUUCAGGGAGGAAAGACGAUGCCGAGGGUAUCGCGCUCUUGGAUGGGCGUCAUGUCCUAUCAGCUUGUUGGGAGGUAACGGCUCACCAAGGCUUCGACGGGUAGCUGGUCUGAGAGGACGAUCAGCCACACUGGCACUGCGACACGGGCCAGACUCCUACGGGAGGCAGCAGUAAGGAAUAUUGCGC